UACAGAGGGUGCAAGCGUUAAUCGGAACUACUGGGCGUAAAGCGCGCGUAGGUGGUUUGGUAAGUCGGAUGUGAAAUCCCCGGGCUUAACCUGGGAACUGCAUUUGGAACUGGAAGGCUAGAGUGCGGCAGAGGGGGGUAGAAUUCCACGUGUAGCAGUGAAAUGCGUAGAGAUGUGGAGGAAUACCGAUGGCGAAGGCAGCCCCCUGGGUCGACACUGACGCUCAUGCACGAAAGCGUGGGGAGCAAACAGG
RNAcentral lists this ribosomal RNA (253 nucleotides) under uncultured bacterium. RNAcentral describes it as "partial 16S ribosomal RNA". It matches the Rfam family "Bacterial small subunit ribosomal RNA", at positions 524 to 776 of the family's 1533-position model. The record is from RNAcentral.